UCAAAACUGAGAGUCAGAUUUUCAUUUUCGUUUUUCUUUGUUGAUUUUGAUUUACAGACUCAGAUCUUGAUUUGAAUCUUCUUGUUCCCUUGAAUUAAGACUCAGAUUGAGAUACUAUGGAAGAUUUACAAAAAGUGCUUAAUAUGGAAGAUUCACCAAAAACUUCCAACAAUGAAAAAGAAUUGUCAGAAGGGACUCAAACUCCAAGAACUAUUACACAAGUUACCCCAAAUGGUUCAACCCUGUGGAUUCCUCAUUGUGAGUUUGAUAAAAAGCCAUUUGUUGGUAUGGCUUUUGAAAACUUAGAGAAAGCCUUAGAUUUUUAUGGUAAAUAUGCUGAAA
Amaranthus tricolor (Joseph's coat) is the source of this 342-nucleotide long non-coding RNA. RefSeq lists it as uncharacterized. The record is from RefSeq and is a predicted model, not a curated record. The transcript has 3 exons. Lineage: Eukaryota; Viridiplantae; Streptophyta; Magnoliopsida; Caryophyllales; Amaranthaceae.